This 30-nucleotide non-coding RNA is filed under the name Actinoplanes sp. SE50/110. Lineage: Bacteria; Bacillati; Actinomycetota; Actinomycetes; Micromonosporales; Micromonosporaceae. The record is from RNAcentral.
GCCGCCAGCACUCGGUCCGCGGCGGGCGUC